RNAcentral lists this ribosomal RNA (159 nucleotides) under Fulgensia poeltii. RNAcentral describes it as "5.8S ribosomal RNA". It matches the Rfam family "5.8S ribosomal RNA". From Rfam's summary of the family: 5.8S ribosomal RNA (5.8S rRNA) is a component of the large subunit of the eukaryotic ribosome. It is transcribed by RNA polymerase I as part of the 45S precursor that also contains 18S and 28S rRNA. Functionally, it is thought that 5.8S rRNA may be involved in ribosome translocation. Lineage: Eukaryota; Fungi; Ascomycota; Lecanoromycetes; Teloschistales; Teloschistaceae. The record is from RNAcentral.
AAAACUUUCAACAACGGAUCUCUUGGUUCUGGCAUCGAUGAAGAACGCAGCGAAAUGCGAUAAGUAAUGUGAAUUGCAGAAUUCAGUGAAUCAUCGAAUCUUUGAACGCACAUUGCGCCCCUCGGAAUCCCGAGGGGCAUGCCUGUUCGAGCGUCAUUG